RNAcentral lists this ribosomal RNA (253 nucleotides) under uncultured bacterium. RNAcentral describes it as "partial 16S ribosomal RNA". It matches the Rfam family "Bacterial small subunit ribosomal RNA", at positions 524 to 776 of the family's 1533-position model. The record is from RNAcentral.
UACGUAGGGGGCAAGCGUUGUCCGGAAUCAUUGGGCGUAAAGCGCGUGUAGGCGGUCCGGUAAGUCGGUUGUGAAAGUCCAGGGCUCAACCCUGGGAUGCCGACCGAUACUGUCGGACUAGAGUUCGGAAGAGGCGAGUGGAAUUCCCGGUGUAGCGGUGAAAUGCGCAGAUAUCGGGAGGAACACCAAUGGCGAAGGCAGCUCGCUGGGACGUUACUGACGCUGAGACGCGAAAGCGUGGGGAACAAACAGG